GAUGAACGCUGGCGGCGUGCCUAAUACAUGCAAGUCGAGCGAACAGACGAGGAUCUUGCUCCUCUGACGUUAGCGGCGGACGGGUGAGUAACACGUGGAUAACCUACCUAUAAUACUGGGAUAACUUCGGGAAACCGGAGCUAAUACCGGAUAAUAUAUUGAACCGCAUGGUUCAAUAGUGAAAGACGGUUUUGCUGUCACUUAUAGAUGGAUCCGCGCGGCAUUAGCUAGUUGGUAAGGUAACGGCUUACCAAGGCAACGAUGCGUAGCCGACCUGAGAGGCGGAUAGGCCACCCUGGAACGGAGCCACGGUCAAGACGCCUACGGGAGGCAGCAGUCGGGAAUCUUCCGCAAUGGGCGAAAGCCUGACAGAGCAACGCCGCGUGAGUGAUGAAGGUCUUCGGAUCGUAAAACUCUGUUAUUAGGGAAGAACAAAUGUGUAAGUAACUAUGCACGUCUUGACGGUAACUAAUCAGAAAGCCCCGGCUAACUACGUG
This 497-nucleotide ribosomal RNA is filed under the name uncultured bacterium. Its description in RNAcentral is "partial 16S ribosomal RNA". It matches the Rfam family "Bacterial small subunit ribosomal RNA", at positions 28 to 507 of the family's 1533-position model. The record is from RNAcentral.